RNAcentral lists this long non-coding RNA (1158 nucleotides) under Crocodylus porosus (Australian saltwater crocodile). RNAcentral describes it as "lncRNA (ENSCPRG00005018883.1)". The record is from RNAcentral. Lineage: Eukaryota; Metazoa; Chordata; Crocodylia; Crocodylidae.
CCCUGCUCCUUGCCACCCACCUAAGGGGCAGGGCCCUUGAUGGGGGCAGCAGCCCCCGUCGUGGUGUCGGGGAGUGCACGCCCCUCCCCAGCAGGGGUGCUGCACUGGGGAGGCAGGCAGGGCUACAGCAGACUGCACGCAGCAGCGCUGGGGCUCGGAGGGAGCCAGAGCCCUCCAAACCCCCACCCUCCACCCCAGUGCUGCCACACAGUCCACAGCAGUUUCCCUGCCCAACAGCACAGCCCCCCCACUGGGAACCCGUGACAAGGGCUGUUGCCCCCAUCAAGAGCCCUGCCCCAUCACUGCUGCAUUUCCCCCUCUUUCCCCAGGGGACCACAGCAGGGUCUACCCAUCCCAACUGCCACUACUGCUCACUCUGUGCCUGGAGCAAACCCCUCCCUGACCCCUGCCUAAGGGGUCCUACUGGCCAGCAUCUGGCCCUGCUUGGCCCCUGGAGCAGCAAGGGAGGAGCGACCAUGAUGGAGACAACAGCCAGCCCCUCUCAUGGUGUCAGGGAGUGCAAGCCCUUUCCCAUGGGGGAGCCACGCUGCCCCCUCCAAGUCCCAGUGCUGCUGUGUGUAGUCCAUAGCAGCUCUUCCUGCCCUGCAGUGAAGCACCCCUGUCAAGAAGGGGCUCAGGCUCCCCAACUUCAUGACAGGGGCUGCUGCCCCAAUCUAGAGCUCUGCCCCUUGUCGCUGCAGCAGUGGGUGAGAGGCAUGGCCAGAGGCCAGUUGGCAGGGCCCCUUAGGUGGGGGUUAUUCCCCCUCCCUCUAAUAUCCAGUGGUGGGGGCAGCAGGAGGCUUAAAACAGGAAGGGGUCUGGGACAGUUUGCAUAAACCAGUUUGAGCUCAAUCAGUUAAGUCUGAUAAUUCAAUCAGGUUAUCUCAAACCAGUUUUGGCCAUUUUGAAACUGGUUUAUGUGCGCUGAAUGUCUGUUUUGUUACAGGUUUAAACCACUUUCUGAUUACUUUAACCAGUUUAUGUGUAAUGUCUGUCCCUAGCCCAUAAGUUCUGCCAAUUUUCUCUAAAGCAGCUUCUAGCUGGCAAUGUCCACCGUGAGAUGUCUUGAGUCUAAUUGUGAGGAAUGCUGAGCCUUCAAAAAACCAGUGUAGAUUGAUGAGAUCUGCAGGGUCCCUGGGCCUCUGAGAGGGAUCAGAU